RNAcentral lists this ribosomal RNA (557 nucleotides) under Sphingomonas sp. BvIRHM058. Its description in RNAcentral is "bacterial SSU rRNA". It matches the Rfam family "Bacterial small subunit ribosomal RNA", at positions 102 to 694 of the family's 1533-position model. Lineage: Bacteria; Pseudomonadati; Pseudomonadota; Alphaproteobacteria; Sphingomonadales; Sphingomonadaceae. The record is from RNAcentral.
ACGGGUGCGUAACGCGUGGGAAUCUACCCUUGGGUUCGGAAUAACAGUGAGAAAUUACUGCUAAUACCGGAUGAUGUCGAAAGACCAAAGAUUUAUCGCCCGAGGAUGAGCCCGCGUAGGAUUAGCUAGUUGGUGAGGUAAAGGCUCACCAAGGCGACGAUCCUUAGCUGGUCUGAGAGGAUGAUCAGCCACACUGGGACUGAGACACGGCCCAGACUCCUACGGGAGGCAGCAGUGGGGAAUAUUGGACAAUGGGCGAAAGCCUGAUCCAGCAAUGCCGCGUGAGUGAUGAAGGCCUUAGGGUUGUAAAGCUCUUUUACCCGGGAUGAUAAUGACAGUACCGGGAGAAUAAGCCCCGGCUAACUCCGUGCCAGCAGCCGCGGUAAUACGGAGGGGGCUAGCGUUGUUCGGAAUUACUGGGCGUAAAGCGCACGUAGGCGGCUUUGUAAGUUAGAGGUGAAAGCCUGGAGCUCAACUCCAGAACUGCCUUUAAGACUGCAUCGCUUGAAUCCAGGAGAGGUGAGUGGAAUUCCGAGUGUAGAGGUGAAAUUCGUAGA